UACGUAAGGACCGAGCGUUGUCCGGAAUCAUUGGGCGUAAAGGGUACGUAGGCGGUUAGAAAAGUUAGAAGUGAAAGGCUAUAGCUCAACUAUAGUAAGCUUUUAAAACUGUUUAACUUGAGAGAUGGAAGGGAAAGUGGAAUUCCUAGUGUAGCGGUGAAAUGCGCAGAUAUUAGGAGGAAUACCGGUGGCGAAGGCGACUUUCUGGCCAUUAUCUGAUGCUGAGGUACGAAAGCGUGGGUAGCAAACAGG
RNAcentral lists this ribosomal RNA (252 nucleotides) under uncultured bacterium. RNAcentral describes it as "partial 16S ribosomal RNA". It matches the Rfam family "Bacterial small subunit ribosomal RNA", at positions 524 to 776 of the family's 1533-position model. The record is from RNAcentral.